UUUCGACACACGCGCUUGUGAAACGUGCGCCCAAAGAAUUGCCUGCUGCUCCCGUCAAGCAGUCUGAUGCUGACAGGCAGCUGUGAGACUGACAUGCUCAUUGAGGCAAGCUUUAACACUUACAGAUGGACUGCUUGGCCUAACGUGCCUUUUCCUUCUGAGACCUGGAUGACAUUUGCCUCUGGAACAUUCUUUCAGAGCAACAGGGGAGGUGACACAAUGAGGCGGGGAGGAUAAAAGAAUCGGCGCACGGUCAAGUGACACUUUGAGGA
Long non-coding RNA from Ictalurus punctatus (channel catfish), 272 nucleotides. The record is from Ensembl. Lineage: Eukaryota; Metazoa; Chordata; Actinopteri; Siluriformes; Ictaluridae.